This 82-nucleotide non-coding RNA is filed under the name bovine gut metagenome. RNAcentral's name for it is "S10-Clostridia ribosomal protein leader". It matches the Rfam family "S10-Clostridia ribosomal protein leader". The record is from RNAcentral.
UGAUAGCUAUGAAACGUGAGGUUGCUGCAUAUAAUUGCAGGUUUUCCGCGGAGCGAAUGUCAAGUUAGGAAACUGACGACAA